Molecule: ribosomal RNA, 253 nt
Filed under: uncultured bacterium
Lineage: Bacteria
Description: partial 16S ribosomal RNA
Rfam family: Bacterial small subunit ribosomal RNA
Source: RNAcentral
UACGUAGGGGGCGAGCGUUGUCCGGAAUUAUUGGGCGUAAAGAGCGUGUAGGCGGCUCGGUAAGUCUGCUGUGAAAGUCCAGGGCUCAACCCUGGAAUGCCGGUGGAAACUGUCGAGCUAGAGUCCGGAAGAGGCGAGUGGAACUCCUGGUGUAGCGGUGAAAUGCGCAGAUAUCAGGAAGAACACCAAUGGCGAAGGCAGCUCGCUGGGACGGUACUGACGCUGAGACGCGAAAGCGUGGGGAGCAAACAGG